UCUAAACCGAACACUCCCGCACUAUUUUUUCUUCUGUAAGAGAUCCAUUCGUCGUUCCAAAAUCACUAUUAUGUUCUUGGUAGUAGCUCUUCAAUUUAAUCAGUGUAAUUUUUCUUAUUGUUUGUUUUACGUUAAUUUUGAUUGUCCCUAUUUUUGUGAGUUUUUUCUUUUUGUAUUUUUCUAAAAAUUUUAUUUAUGGUGGAGGUUUUCUGAAGACAGAUAGGUGUUAGAGUUGUUUCUAUUUUGGCUACUGUUUUUGUGGGGGGUUGACUAUGGUAUAACUCAUCCUCCGGUGAUUAUCUUUAGGCUUUCCGUCAGAAUGAGUUAUACCUCAGCACAAGAGAACAAGGAGGUGGACACCUGCAAAAGGCACUCCGACACUCAAGUCAAUAAGUGUAUAUUGAGCUCUUUUCUUGAAAAGAAUAACUUUGAUAGAAUUACUUACCUCAUUUUUCCUC
RNAcentral lists this long non-coding RNA (458 nucleotides) under Arachis ipaensis. RNAcentral describes it as "long non-coding RNA (AIPA_LNC001208)". The record is from RNAcentral. Lineage: Eukaryota; Viridiplantae; Streptophyta; Magnoliopsida; Fabales; Fabaceae.